CCACAGUCACGAUUGGUGAAGGACGCUCGAGACUGGGCCCGAAGGUGACCGCCCAAAUGGUGGAAGCACGUAGAAGUAGCUCUGCACAGGUGGAGAUGAUCACCGCCUCCCUUCGGAACUUCUAGGAGCCUUUUUUUACUGAUUGAGGAGAUCAGUAAACCAGUUUGCUUGUGCUUAUGACAAUGAAGUUGUCAUGUAAGACACAUGCGCAUCCUGCCUGCAGCUGUAGCAACGUACACUCUGAUGGCCUCCAGAAGACAUCUCUGGUGUCUUCGGUGCUCUCCUCGGGUUCCUUUGGUCAGGUUGGCUCUGUGCAGAAGCCAGCACUCUCUCAGCACGUUUGCAGCAGCGUGACGGAUCUGCUCAACAAGUGUGGAGGGUAAGCAUCCAGGACGCCGUGAGCCAGAAGAAGAGGAUGAAGACCAGUAAGGACGGCCCGGUGCACCAGAUACAAGCGUAGGAACAUCAGCACCGACAGCAGCAGCUCCAAAUCCGCCAGCGCCGUAUUGUGAUGGUUGGAAUCGCACAGCGGAGGUGAGGAAGAGGAGUUGCCGUGGAGGCCCACCUCCCAGUAUGUGCCGACGGGAUGGAUGGCGCAGGCCAAUAGCUCGAGCGUGAUCACGAAUACCCUGUGGCUGGUCAUGGCGAUACGCCAGUCCACCUGGUUUUGAUCUAUGAUGAAGAGCUGAAAGACAUUGGGAAUCUUAUUGGAUGAAAGUCCUGUUUUUAUGACCAAAAAAAAAACAUAUGGAGCAGCGUGGCGCAGAGGGUAAGUUUACGGUGUUCGGUUAAAGCGCAGGUUGAAGUUGUCUACCUGGGUAAGACACUUAAACCACAUUGCCUAUGAAUGAAUAUGUUUGGAAAUUUGCAGCGGUUGGAGAGGCCGUAGGCGCAGAAUGGCAGCCAUUCUCCCUUCGGACUGCGCAAGGGCAGCUGUGUCUACACUAGUAGCUUAACACCACUAGGGUGUAACUGUGGAAUGAAUGAAUAAUGCGUGCUAUUGUAAAGCGUCUUUGAGUCGCUUGAAAAGCGCUACAUAAGAUGAAUGCAUUAUUAUUAUGUAGAACGUCACAUGACCAAGCCCAGAAAAUAGUUUCCGGACUUUCUGUGUAUGCUGCGAUGGCGAGCAUAACUAAGAGUGGGUGAAUGACAGUUUGAAGCCGAACUUGCUAAAAUUUUGUUUUCUUGAGGUUUGUCAUUGCUGACAAUAAACGGAAAAAAAAUCUGCAGGCGGUGAACACUGUGUGUUAACUCCUCCUUAUCUCUUCAAAGCAUACA
Molecule: long non-coding RNA, 1278 nt
Organism: Phyllopteryx taeniolatus (common seadragon)
Lineage: Eukaryota; Metazoa; Chordata; Actinopteri; Syngnathiformes; Syngnathidae
Exons: 4
Source: RefSeq, a predicted model, not a curated record